CUUUUUCUCUUCUUUUUUUAAAUUUUAAUUUAAUUAUACAAGACGGAGUCUCAGUAUGUUGCCCAGGCUGGUCUUGGACUCCUGAGCUCAAGUGAUACAUCCGUCUCCGCCUCCCAAAGUGCUGGGAUUACAGGCCUGAGACACUGUGCCCGGCCUUAAACACAAAUCUUAAUUCAUUCUUACAACUAUCCUGGGGUUAGAAAAAUGGAAGGGGAAGAAAAAUGGCAAGCAGGCAGGCUGACUUCGGCUUCAUUAUUUGGAAGGACAGUUUGCUCGGUUAAAACACACUACUGCCCACAAAGGCCAAGACAACAGAAAAAUACAGACUUAUAUAAAUAGAUUUUAUAUGUGACAGCAGUUUGAAUGGAGACUUUUUCAAUGCAAAUGACAAACAGCUGUCCUUGGGAAUAAAUGACAACGAAUUUUUUUAUCUCAACAUCUGUCCUGAGAGCACGUCUCUACAUCUCUACCUGCAUUCUGGAAACCGGGAGAAAGCCAAAACGGACGACAAGACACUAGAUCAGCCGUGUCCAACCCUGUGACUACAAGGACUUUUCCGCCUAUCUUUGGUGGGGUUCCUGGCAAGUCAGUUCUCCCUCAGGCCUUUGGUUUCCUCACCUACAAGAUGAGAGGGCCGGACCAGAUGGAAAUUCGGGGGUAAGGGGAUGUCCGCGCGCAGCCCACCCCCACCCUCCCCGCCCCACGGGACCCUAGAGCCUCCAUCCCAGUUCCCACCAAGCACUCGCCCCACAAAUCCUGCCCAAGGUGAGGGCUGGUCCCGGGUCUCUCGGCUGCCCCAUCAGCGAGUGCAGGAGGGAGGGGAAGCCUCCAAGGGCGCGACGCGGGCUCAAGGAUGCAACUCGGCCAGGAGUGAACUGGGGCCUCAAGGGAGGUGUCCGGGCCGCUCCUCGAGCCCAGCCCGGGUCCCCAAACCCCUUACCUCCAGGGUCCGUAUCUCCUGCUCGG
Molecule: long non-coding RNA, 966 nt
Filed under: Homo sapiens (human)
Lineage: Eukaryota; Metazoa; Chordata; Mammalia; Primates; Hominidae
Description: HSALNT0123705
Source: RNAcentral